UACGGAGGGUGCAAGCGUUAUCCGGAUUCACUGGGUUUAAAGGGUGCGUAGGUGGGUCUGUAAGUCAGUGGUGAAAUCUCCAAGCUUAACUUGGAAACUGCCGUGGAUACUAUUAGUCUUGAAUAUUGUGGAGGUAAGCGGAAUAUGUCAUGUAGCGGUGAAAUGCUUAGAUAUGACAUAGAACACCGAUAGCGAAGGCAGCUUGCUACACAAUCAUUGACACUGAGGCACGAAAGCGUGGGGAUCAAACAGG
This 253-nucleotide ribosomal RNA is filed under the name uncultured bacterium. Its description in RNAcentral is "partial 16S ribosomal RNA". It matches the Rfam family "Bacterial small subunit ribosomal RNA", at positions 524 to 776 of the family's 1533-position model. The record is from RNAcentral.